Molecule: long non-coding RNA, 1487 nt
Organism: Oncorhynchus tshawytscha (Chinook salmon)
Lineage: Eukaryota; Metazoa; Chordata; Actinopteri; Salmoniformes; Salmonidae
Source: Ensembl
CCGACGCUUCACAUGGAACUCCAGAACCCAAGAUAUAUGUCCAGAACACUCAAAAAAUCUUCAGUUCUUGAUCGACAAACACCGAGAGAGACAGCAUUAUUAUGGCAAGCUUUUCAUUCAUCUUCCCCGAAGACAGACGUUGUUCCAUUAAGGACAACGAAGUCAAUUCAGGUAAGAACAAUAACGUUAAUUUCCGUCUUUAAAUAAAAAUAUCAAUUGAAGGUGUAGUUCCUACUGGAAAGGAAAUAAAAACAACUUAGAAGAUACGGCAUUCGGGGUUUGUUGUUAGUUACCAAACAAUGUAACCAUGCGAAAUGAGGUUUUCCAGCUGACAAUUGGUUAUUUUGCCAAUGAAAAUAAAUUAUGUCCCAAUUAUCUCUCCUUCCACCCAAAAUGUGCACUUGUUCACCUCCCUUUACUGAUUUGAAAGGAAAUGACUGGUAUAUUAAAUAUGGCUAAAACUCUACCUAGCCCCUACUAGCCAAUGUUUUUAGAUUUGUGAGAAGUGGUGAAUGGCUGCACACUUCAGCAAAAAUUAGAUGGUAUUGGGAUGCAUGAAGAAAAUUAAGAAUUAAAUUUAAAAUAUCCCUUGCUUGUAAUGCUGAAAUCAGUUUAGUUAACCCUGUGUUGGUGUUUCUUUCAGGGUGGAUGUCAACGGUAACCAAACUCAACACCCAUGGCGGUCCAGAGUCAGAGAGUCAGAACAUCCAUCAGUGCGUUGCAGAUGUACUUGGUAACAAGUACCACUACGCGAAUGCCAUUGACAGCUCUCUGCUCUGGACCGUUGGGUACACCCCCUACAUUCCCCCAGCUCUGAAAGGAAGAAGCUUCCCCUCUGUCGAGAGCUUCUUCCUGGAUGAGUGGGAGCCACUGACACUCCUGCAGACUCCUCAGGUUCUGUCCACCAGUGUUUCCAUCAAGGAAGACAACCUGAUCCAGUCUGCUGCAGGCCUAGUGUCUCUGGUUCUGUCAUCCAGUGUUGCCAUCAUGGAGAAUGACCUGAUCCAGUCUGCUGCAGGCCUAGUGUCUCAGAUUCUGUCCACCAGUGUUGCCAUCGUGGAGAAUGACCUGAUCCAGUCUGCUGCAGGCCUAGUGUCUCAGAUUCUGUCCACCAGUGUUGCCAUCGUGGAUAAUGACCUGAUCCAGUCUGCUGCAGGCCUAGUGUCUCUGGUUCUGUCCAGCAGUGACGCUAGAGUGAAGGAUCGUAUUGAUUCCACACUGAGAGACUCCAACCAACCUGAGGUCCAUGUGGCUGAUGUCUCAACCGAGAGAAGUAGACUAGUCAUCACUAUUUCUAUGUUUUCAAUAGAGAGUUGCAAUGCUUUGGUCCAUGAAGUUGAUGCUAUUGCUACCAGCCUGGAGCACCCGGCUGAGAAAAUGUCUACCUCUACCGCUGAUGGCCACUUCGUUUCAUCCACUGCUGUUGCCAAUCAGAAGAAAACAAGGGGUGAAUUCGUCUCAUCUUUACGGAGACUGUUCACGAGAAA